AUACGUAGGGUGCGAGCGUUGUCCGGAAUUACUGGGCGUAAAGAGCUUGUAGGUGGUUUGUCGCGUCGUCUGUGAAAUUCCGGGGCUUAACUCCGGGCGUGCAGGCGAUACGGGCAUAACUUGAGUACUGUAGGGGAGACUGGAAUUCCUGGUGUAGCGGUGAAAUGCGUAGAUAUCAGGAGGAACACCGGUGGCGAAGGCGGGUCUCUGGGCAGUAACUGACGCUGAGGAGCGAAAGCAUGGGUAGCGAACAGGAUUAGAUACCCUGGUAGUCCAUGCCGUAAACGGUGGGCGCUAGGUGUAGGGGUCUUCCACGACUUCUGUGCCGUAGCUAACGCAUUAAGCGCCCCGCCUGGGGAGUACGGCCGCAAGGCUAAAACUCAAAUGAAUUGACGGGG
This 398-nucleotide ribosomal RNA is filed under the name uncultured bacterium. RNAcentral's name for it is "partial 16S ribosomal RNA". It matches the Rfam family "Bacterial small subunit ribosomal RNA", at positions 523 to 918 of the family's 1533-position model. The record is from RNAcentral.